CGAGAGCCUCAGAGAAAGAGGGAAAGAAAGAGAGAUGGGAAGCACGGCCCUGCUCUCUCACCCGCAGCUGAGCUGCAUCCUCCGCCGGAGUCCGUUAAGUCAGCGGUACAGUGCUCCGCGGAGCACCAAAGUUUCCCUUUGGAAGAUCGAAAUCUCUCCCAAGUCUCGAAAGCCACUGCAACGUUGCUUGGCUUUGGAUGAAGAUGGGAGAGAGCAGCAGCAGCAAACAGGUGGAACUGGGGCUGCCCUCGAGGAAAGGCCUGUUAAUAGUUUACAGGAAGAAACAGAAGAAAAUUUUCAGCAAGAGGAUUCACAGAACUCUCUUUAUAGUUUUCUUUACCCCAGCAAGGACCUUCUUCCGGAUGACAAAGAAAUGAGCAUAUUUGAUCAUUUAGAGGAGCUCCGCCAAAGAAUAUUUAUAUCUGUUUUAGCAGUUGGAGCUGCAAUCUUAGGCUGCUUUGCCUUUUCUAAGGAUUUGAUCGUGCUCCUUGAAGCACCUGUUAGCUCUCAAGGAGUUCGCUUUCUACAACUUUCUCCUGGGGAGUUCUUCUUUACAACUAUUAAGGUGUCUGGAUAUUGUGGGCUUCUCCUGGGUAGUCCCAUAAUUCUUUAUGAGAUCAUAGCCUUUGUUCUCCCGGGUCUAACAAGGGAUGAAAGAAGGUUCCUUGGACCUAUUGUGCUGGGGUCCUCAGUGCUCUUUUAUACUGGCAUUGCCUUCUCCUAUGCUGUUCUGGCACCAGCAGCCUUGAACUUCUUUGUCACCUAUGCUGAAGGGGCGGUGGAAUCAUUGUGGUCUAUAGAUCAGUAUUUUGAGUUUGUUUUAAUUCUCAUGUUCAGCACUGGCCUGUCCUUUCAGGUUCCAGUCAUACAACUGCUGCUAGGACAAGUCGGCUUGGUAUCAGGGGAUCAAAUGUUAUCAAUCUGGAGAUAUGUUGUGGUUGGUGCUGUUGUUGCUGCUGCGGUGCUGACACCAUCAACUGACCCCCUCACCCAAAUGUUGUUGGCAGGGCCGUUGCUGGGUCUCUACUUGGGUGGUGCAUGGAUGGUGAAGCUUAUUGGUCGCUGAUACCUUUAUUUUAGGCAUAAACUUUUCCAUCGAAAAGGGGGCAGAUUAUACUGCCAAUGUAUAUUAUAAGCACAAGAGUAAGAGCGCUUAAAUGCUUUACAGGUUGCAGAAGAAGUUGGACCAAUGCUGUGAAGAGUAAGCAAAGAAGGGAACCAAAAGAACCCGGGGAUGUUGUAUAUGUGGUGGGUUGCUUUUGUUUGGAAGAGAAAUAUGCAAAUCUCUAUGCUCAUUUUACCAGAACCAUAAGCAUAGUAAGGGUCUGAUGCGCAGAAAAUCUUAUGGCUUUUACAGAUCAUUUAUUUUUAAGGAUGGCCAAGAGUAGAACAUUUGUAUAAAUCAUGUGUUUUGAGAUGGUUUUAUGCACUGAAAGAGAUACUGUAAGAACCUUUUUCAUUAUACAUGUAUUAAGUGGUUUGUUUUUUUUU
RNA transcript from Asparagus officinalis (garden asparagus), 1491 nucleotides. It is a transcript of the gene named sec-independent protein translocase protein TATC, chloroplastic, with no coding region annotated. The transcript has 5 exons. The record is from RefSeq and is a predicted model, not a curated record. NCBI's taxonomy places the organism in Eukaryota, Viridiplantae, Streptophyta, Magnoliopsida, Asparagales, Asparagaceae.